This 467-nucleotide ribosomal RNA is filed under the name uncultured bacterium. RNAcentral's name for it is "partial 16S ribosomal RNA". It matches the Rfam family "Bacterial small subunit ribosomal RNA", at positions 28 to 507 of the family's 1533-position model. The record is from RNAcentral.
GACGAACGCUGGCGGCGUGCUUAACACAUGCAAGUCGAACGAUGAUGCCCAGCUUGCUGGGCGGAUUAGUGGCGAACGGGUGAGUAACACGUGAGUAACCUGCCCCUGACUCUGGGAUAAGCGUUGGAAACGACGUCCAAUACUGGAUAUGAUCGCCGACCUCAUGGUCUGGUGGUGGAAAGAUUGUAUGGUUGGGGAUGGACUCGCGGCCUAUCAGCUUGUUGGUGAGGUAAUGGCUCACCAAGGCGACGACGGGUAGCCGGCCUGAGAGGGUGACCGGCCACACUGGGACUGAGACACGGCCCAGACUCCUACGGGAGGCAGCAGUGGCGAAUAUUGCACAAUGGGCGAAAGCCUGAUGCAGCAACGCCGCGUGAGGGAUGACGGCCUUCGGGUUGUAAACCUCUUUUAGUAGAGAAGACGCGAAAGUGACGGUACCUGCAGAAAAAGCACCGGCUAACUACGUG